AGAGUUUGAUCCUGGCUCAGGACGAACGCUGGCGGCGUGCCUAAUACAUGCAAGUCGAGCGAAUCUGAGGGAGCUUGCUCCCGAAGAUUAGCGGCGGACGGGUGAGUAACACGUGGGUAACCUGCCUGUAAGAUUGGGAUAACUCCGGGAAACCGGAGCUAAUACCGGAUAACAAUUUGAACCGCAUGGUUCAAAUUUGAAAGAUGGCUUCUUGCUAUCACUUACAGAUGGACCCGCGGCGCAUUAGCUAGUUGGUGAGGUAACGGCUCACCAAGGCGACGAUGCGUAGCCGACCUGAGAGGGUGAUCGGCCACACUGGGACUGAGACACGGCCCAGACUCCUACGGGAGGCAGCAGUAGGGAAUCUUCCGCAAUGGACGAAAGUCUGACGGAGCAACGCCGCGUGAACGAUGAAGGCCUUCGGGUCGUAAAGUUCUGUUGUUAGGGAAGAACAAGUACCAGAGUAACUGCUGGUACCUUGACGGUACCUAACCAGAAAGCCACGGCUAACUACGUGCCAGCAGCCGCGGUAAUACGUAGGUGGCAAGCGUUGUCCGGAAUUAUUGGGCGUAAAGCGCGCGCAGGCGGUUUCUUAAGUCUGAUGUGAAAGCCCACGGCUCAACCGUGGAGGGUCAUUGGAAACUGGGAAACUUGAGUGCAGUAGACGAGAGUGGAAUUCCACGUGUAGCGUGGAAAUGCAUAGAGAUGU
This 709-nucleotide ribosomal RNA is filed under the name Bacillus sp. MS14. RNAcentral's name for it is "bacterial SSU rRNA". It matches the Rfam family "Bacterial small subunit ribosomal RNA", at positions 8 to 699 of the family's 1533-position model. Lineage: Bacteria; Bacillati; Bacillota; Bacilli; Caryophanales; Bacillaceae. The record is from RNAcentral.